This 117-nucleotide transfer RNA is filed under the name Culex quinquefasciatus (southern house mosquito). It matches the Rfam family "tRNA". From Rfam's summary of the family: Transfer RNA (tRNA) molecules are approximately 80 nucleotides in length. Lineage: Eukaryota; Metazoa; Arthropoda; Insecta; Diptera; Culicidae. The record is from Rfam by way of RNAcentral.
CCUUCGAUAGCUCAGUUGGUAGAGCGGUGGACUGUAGAUGAAACAAUUGUUCAUUAUCGAUUUGUACAAUUUUCAAUAGUUAUCCAAAGGUCGCUGGUUCAAAUCCGGCUCGAAGGA